AUUGAACGCUGGCAGCAGGCCUAACACAUGCAAGUCGAACGGUAGCACAGAGAGCUUGCUCUCGGGUGACGAGUGGCGGACGGGUGAGUAACGUCUGGGAAACUGCCCGAUGGAGGGGGAUAACUACUGGAAACGGUAGCUAAUACCGCAUAACGUCGCAAGACCAAAGUGGGGGACCUUCGGGCCUCACACCAUCGGAUGUGCCCAGAUGGGAUUAGCUAGUAGGUGGGGUAAUGGCUCAACUAGGCGACGAUCCCUAGCUGGUCUGAGAGGAUGACCAGCCACACUGGAACUGAGGCACGGUCCAGACUCCUACGGGAGGCAGCAUUGGGGAAUAUUGCACAAUGGGCGCAAGCCUGAUGCAGCCAUGCCGCGUGUAUGAAGAAGGCCUUCGGGUUGUAAAGUACUUUCAGCGGGGAGGAAGGCGGUGAAGUUAAUAGCUUAACCGAUUGACGUUACCCGCAGAAGAAGCACCGGCUAACUCCGUGCCAGCCGCCGCCGUAA
This 504-nucleotide ribosomal RNA is filed under the name uncultured bacterium. RNAcentral's name for it is "partial 16S ribosomal RNA". It matches the Rfam family "Bacterial small subunit ribosomal RNA", at positions 30 to 523 of the family's 1533-position model. The record is from RNAcentral.